RNAcentral lists this small RNA (100 nucleotides) under Pongo abelii (Sumatran orangutan). RNAcentral describes it as "processed transcript". Lineage: Eukaryota; Metazoa; Chordata; Mammalia; Primates; Hominidae. The record is from RNAcentral.
ACAAGGAGAGGAAGUGGGAAAGGUUUCAUUAUAAGCUCCUUGAAAGCAGAAUCUGUGUAUCCCCUACCGUAUCCCCUGCAGGAUCUCAUACAGAGACUGG